CUGCUCAUUCUGUUUCCACAGGCAGGGAGCCACCUGUAUCUUCUCAUGGUUUUUUGACCUUGCACAGCUGCCAUAGCUCCUUGGGGCCACACCUCUCCCUCCCCACUUUCAGCAAUGAUGAGACCAUCCAUUUCCCACAAUGCACCUGCAGCUCCACGGCUGUUGCAUGCACUGCCCGGAACCUUGUUAGAGCAAUAAAAAUAGUAGCAUGAAACAGAAUGGAUGGUGAAUUGGAAAGGGACAAAAUACUACAGCCCCGGCCAAAAUAUUCUCACAGGAACGCUGCAGUUGAGCAAAGCAGAAAGUCAGGUGUUCCUGCUCUCAGCACAGCUUAUGAACUCAUUUGACUGUCACUACAACCAUUAGAGCACAAGCACACACAUCUCAUUUCUCCAUCAUCAUGCUCAGCCUGUUUAACGGAUGUUAAUGCUUUUGUGAUGUUCCUCUGGAGGACAGCCACAGAAAGACUGUGUGAAUGAGAGAGCGAGCAGGGGUCUCCGAACAGGCCCCCACAGACCAGCAGAGACAGCAGCAAUAAUACAGAGCACCACUGUUACUGUGCUGAUCAGAUCAUUGAAUUAUAGAAAGCCGAAGGCCUCAACAGCCCAGCGGGCGUGAUUGGAACAAUGGAGAUGCUACAAUCAUCUGGACCACUUAUAAAGCAAUACCCCACUAUUGUUCUGGAAUUACUGUUUAAUAAAGAAAGUUCU
This is a long non-coding RNA of Misgurnus anguillicaudatus (oriental weatherfish), 710 nucleotides long. RefSeq lists it as uncharacterized. The record is from RefSeq and is a predicted model, not a curated record. Lineage: Eukaryota; Metazoa; Chordata; Actinopteri; Cypriniformes; Cobitidae.